This 359-nucleotide ribosomal RNA is filed under the name Carabus fraterculus jirisanensis. Its description in RNAcentral is "partial 12S ribosomal RNA". Lineage: Eukaryota; Metazoa; Arthropoda; Insecta; Coleoptera; Carabidae. The record is from RNAcentral.
UUUAAAUGUAAAAUAAGUAUACUAAAGUAGUAAUAGUUAUGUUCUUGAAAUUUAAAGAUUUUGGCGGUAUUUUAGUCUAUUUAGAGGAGCCUGUUCUGUAAUUGAUAAUCCACGAUUAAUUUUACUUAAUUUAUAUAAAUUUGUAUACCGUCGUUAUAAGAAGAUUUUAAAAGAAUAUAAAUUUUUAAUAUUUUAUAUAAAAAAAUAUAUCAGAUCAAGGUGCAGUUUAUAGUUAAGAAGAAAUGGGCUACAAUAAAUUUAUUUAUUUAUACGGAUUAAAGUAGGAAUAUGACUUUAUAAAGGUGGAUUUAAUAGUAAUAAAAUUAAUUUAAAUUUUAUGAUUUUAGCUCUAAAAUAUG